This 277-nucleotide ribosomal RNA is filed under the name uncultured bacterium. RNAcentral describes it as "partial 16S ribosomal RNA". It matches the Rfam family "Bacterial small subunit ribosomal RNA", at positions 28 to 307 of the family's 1533-position model. The record is from RNAcentral.
GAUAAACGCUGGCGGCGUGCCUAAUGCAUGCAAGUCGCACGGGUCACGCUUUCGGGCGUGGCGAGUGGCGAACGGGUGAGGAACACGUGGCCAACCUACCCUGGCGUGGGGAAUACCCGUCAGAAAUGGCGGCUAAUACCGCGUACGGUCCCUGGGGGGUGACUCUGGGGAAGAAAGCCGUGAGGCGCGCUGGGAGGGGGCUGCGGCCGAUUAGCUAGCUGGUGGGGUAACGGCUCACCAGGGCGAUGAUCGGUAGCGGGUCUGAGAGGAUGAUCCG